This is a long non-coding RNA of Oncorhynchus nerka (sockeye salmon), 7811 nucleotides long. RefSeq lists it as uncharacterized. The record is from RefSeq and is a predicted model, not a curated record. Lineage: Eukaryota; Metazoa; Chordata; Actinopteri; Salmoniformes; Salmonidae. The transcript has 2 exons.
GAGCAGACAGGCCGGUUCCUCAAAGCCCUUAGCUCGAAAACCGUCCAGCUUCUAUCGCAGGACAGUGUUACCACGGAGACCAUGUUUGCAGAACGCUGGCGAUAGAUAGCAGCGGUGUCUAUCUAAUAAUCAUUUGCCAUUACCUGCGCGGGAUGUUUCGAUUAUGCUGUAAACAGCGUGGCUGGCUGUAGUCGAUAGGAGCUACAGAGGGAGGAAUAAAGUAAAGAAGAUCCAGACUCAAUUGUCGCACCUGGCAGGAUAUCCAUGGUGGAAUGAGGUAAGCUUUAUUUCUCUUUAUGUCUAUUUUGGCUACUUCAAAAACUAUCUACAAUAAAUUCAAGUCAAGUUAGUUUUUCCAUCAUAUACACAUGAUAUAUUGUAAGCCUACAUGGAGUACACAGUUCACAGUUCACACAGUUCACCUCUCGACAAUGCAACAUCAAGAGACAAAAUAAGUAAGUGAACGCAAAGGGCAGUAAAAAUAAAAACUCAAUUAAGUAAAAAAUAGAAUAGUAUUUUAGCAAAAAUAUAAUACAGAAGGCACUCAAACUAAUUGAAGUUGGAUAUUUACAAGACUGGGAAAUUGUGCAAUAGAUACGCAAUACCAAUAAUAAAUAAAUAAAUGUGCAGUAAUAAUAAAUAGUAUUCCAGUAGCAGCAGUCAUGAUGUGUGUGUGUGUGUGCGUGUGCGUGUGUGUGCACGUGUGAGUAGCCGUGGGAAGUAGUUUGGGGGAGAGGGUGCUAUAUUUUUUUAAAUAUAUUUUUUCAUCUUUAAUUUGUUCUAUUCUGAUUUUUUAAGGGGGCACCCUCAGCACCCAUACUUCCCACAGCUAUGUACAAUAUCAGUCAACAGUUUGGACACACUUACUCAUUCAAGGGUUUUUCUUUAUUUUUUAAAACUAUUUUCUACAUUGUAGAAUAAUAGUGAAGACAUCAAAGCUAUGAAAUAACACACAUGGAAUCAUGUAGUAAACAAAAAAGUGUUAAACAAAUCAAAAUAUAUUUUUUAUUUCAGAUUCUUCAAAGUAGCGACCGUUUGCUUUGAUGACAGCUUUGCAUACUCUUGGCAUUAUCUCAACCAGCUUCAUGAGGUAAUCACCUGGAAUGCAUUUCAAUUAACAGGUGUGCCUUGUUAAAAGUUCAUUUGUGGAAUGUUUUCCUUCUUAAUGCGUUGGAGCCAAUCAGUUGUGUUGUGACAAGGUAGGGUUUGAAUACAGAUGAUAACCCUAUUUGGUAAAAGACCAAAUCCAUAUUAUGUCAAGAACAGCUCUAAUAAGCAAAGAGAAAUAACAGUCCAUCGUUACUUAAAGACAUGAAGGUCAGUCAAUGCAGAACAUUUCAAGAACUUUGAAAGUUGCUUCAAGUGCAGUCGCAAAAGCCAUCAAACACUUUGAUGAAACUGGCUCUCAUGAGGACCGCCACAGGAAAAGAAGAUCCAGAGUUACCUCGGCUGCAGUUCAUUAGUUACCAGCCUCAGAAAUUGCAACCCAAAUAAAAGCUUCACAGAGCUCAAAUAACAGACACAUCUCAACAUCAACUUUUCAGAGGAGACUGCAUGAAUCAGGCCUUCAUGGUCAAAUUGCUGCAAAGAAGCCACUACUUAAGGACACCGAUAAUAAGAAGAGACUUGAUUGGUCCAAGAAACACGAGCAAUAGACAGUAGACCAGUGGAAAUCUGUACCUUGGUAUGAUGAGUCCAAAUUUGAGAUUUAUGGUUCCAGGUCUUUGUGAGAUGCAGAGUAGGUGAACGAAUGAUCUCCACAUGUGUGGUUCCUACAGUGAAGCAUGGAGGAGAAGGUGUGAUGUGUGGGGGUGCUUUGAUGGUGACUCUGUCAGUGGCUUAUUCAGAAUUCAAGGCACACUUAACCUGCAUGGCUACCACAUCAUUCUGCAGCGAUAUGCCAUCCCAUCCGGGUUGUGCUUAGUGGGACGAUCAUUUGAUUUUCAACAGGACAAUGACCCUAAACACACCUCCAGGCUGUGUAAGGGUUAUUUUACCAAUCACCCUACCUCAACCCAAUUGAGAUAGUUUGGGAUGAGUUGGACCGCAAAGUGAAGGAAAAGCAGCCAACAAGUGCUCAGCAUAUGUGGAAACUCCUUCAAGACUGCUGGAAAAGCAUUUCAGGUGACUACCUCAUGAAGCUGGUUGAGAGAAUGCCAAGACAAGAGUGUUCAAAGCUGUCAUCAAGGCAAAGGGUGGCUACUUUGAAGAAUCUCAAAUAUUAGAUAUAUGUGACUUGAUUCAGGAAACUAGGCGUAUGUUGCAAGUCACGACUUCACAGGAGAGCCUUUUGAACGUUUUUUUUAUUUUUAUUUUUUUUAUCAAAAUGCAGAAAUGCCUUCUCGAACAUGUGAACUUUCAUGUGCCUUAAUUUCAAACUUCUAUGUCAUCUGUAAAUACGAAUAAAAUUGUUAAGUUACGAGCCUAGUUGGUUUAGCCACAGAAAAAGAGGGCAACCUUCCCGCUAGACAUGAUUGGCUGAGAUAAUGAGUGGGCUGGACAUGCCAAGAGAUGAGUUUGGAUUGGUCUACGGUGUUGCAUCUUGUGUCUAUGAAAUGAUCUGCUUGUAAUGCGUAGAUAAUCCUUUCUACAGUUUUUUCGAAUGAUAUUAUGCUAGCCAUGGAGAACUGCAAAUAUGUUGCUACUGCUCUUAAUAAAGAAUUUAUCAGGUGCUAUCGACUAAGGUCAGUGGGGAAAAGUUGUGGUGGACUACUUUCUGGAUGACGAUGCAAUGCUGACUCUCUCUCACUCUGAAAAUAACACAUUUUGAAAUCAGUGGAGCACAACGGGCCAAACAAGCUGUGCAAACUAGAUAGAAGUUCGAUGGAUGGCUUGCUAACUAACAAUGAACCUAACAUUAUUUGGUAAAAUUUUGCUUGCCAUGACAAUCGGUUUGUAUUGCUAGUAACGUUACUUUAUGCAUUGGGAAUAUCGUACAUUUUUUAGCUAGCUAGCUAACGUUAACGUGACAUGUCUAAAAAAAGAAGCCCAAGUUAAAGCUUGCUGUUAGCCAGCUAAUGUUAGCUGAGGUUAGGUGGCUGGCUUGCUAGCUAACAUUAAUUUAUGUGUAUGAAGUGUGUGUAAUGUCAGUGAUGUUUUCUCAGAAUGCCAUUUCGCAUUUCUAGUUAUAGCAUAAUGUUAGCUCGCUAACAUUGAACUUAUAUUGAUGAACUUUGGCUAGCUAUGACAAUCGGUUUGUAUUGCUAUUUAAAGCUGGUUGUUAGCUAGCCAGCUGACGUUGGAUGGCUGGCUAGUUACAAUAGCAUAACAUUACUGUGUGUAGUGAUGUUAUCUCAGAAUGCCAUUUCGCAUCUCUUGUAUAAUAAUGCUAAAAUGUUUGUAUCUGGAAUUCAACAUUAAUCAGUAGAACACGCCUGACUCUAAUCCACCAGUCAUACAGUCAUCAAAAGAGAGUUGGCCCAAGCAGUGCAGUCAUCAACUAUAUGCAUCGUUUCUUCACCAACUAUGGAGUUGGGAAAACCCAUGUGGACCUGAAUUGUGAUAACUGCAGUGAUCAAAACAAGAACAAGUUUGUGCUCUGGUAUCAUGCCUGGUGGACCAUGCACAAGCUCCACCACAAUCUGGACCUUCAUUUCCUGAUCACAGGCCGCAGCAGAUUUGCCACUGACUGGUGCUUCGGCCUCAUCAAGCUCAGUUGUCCUGAGUCUGCACAACUCUGCCAGGACCUAGGAUCAAGAGAGACAGUCAAGUGUUUUAGUACUACAUCUCUUGACACAAUGAUGAAAAUAAUCAUGGCCUCUAAACCUUCAAGCUGCAUACUGGACCCUAUUCCAACUAAACUACUGAAAGAGCUGCUUCCUGUGCUUGGCCCUCCUAUGUUGAACAUAAUAAACGGCUCUCUAUCCACCGGAUGUGUACCAAACUCACUAAAAGUGGCAGUAAUAAAGCCUCUCUUGAAAAAGCCAAACCUUGACCCAGAAAAUAUAAAAAACUAUCGGCCUAUAUCGAAUCUUCCAUUCCUCUCAAUUUUUUUUGAAAAUGCUGUUGCGCAGCAACUCGCUGCCUUCCUGAAGACAAACAAUGUAUACGAAAUGCUUCAGUCUGGUUUCAGACCCCAUCAUAGCACUAAGACUGCACUUGUGAAGGUGGUAAAUUACCUUUUAAUGGCAUCAGACCGAGGCUCUGCAUCUGUCCUCGUGCUCCUAGACCUUAGUGCUGCUUUUGAUACCAACGAUCACUACAUUCUUUUGGAGAGAUUGGAAACCCAAUUUGGUCUACUCGGACAAGUUCUGGCCUGGUUUAGAGCUUAUCUGUCGGAAAGAUAUCAGUUUGUCUCUGUGAAUGGUUUGUCCUCUGACAAAUCAACUGUACAUUUCGGUGUUCCUCAAGGUUCCGUUUUAGGGCCGCUAUUGUUUUCACUAUAUAUUUUACCUCUUGGGGAUGUCAUUUGAAAACAUAAAUGUUAACUUUCACUGCUAUGCGGAUGACACACAGCUAUACAUUUCAAUGAAACAUGGUGAAGCCCCAAAAUGGCCCUCGCUAGAAGCCUGUUUUUCAGACAUAAGGAAGUGGAUGGCUGCAAACGUUCUACUUCUAAACUCUGACAAAACAGAGAUGCUUGUUCUAGGUCCCAAGAAACAAAGAGAUCUUCUGUUGAAUCUGACAAUUAAUCUUAAUGGUUGUACAGCCGUCUCAAAGAAAACUGUGAAGGACCUCGGCAUUACUCUGGACCCCGAUCUCUCUUUUGACGAACAUAUCAAGACUGUUUCAAGGACAGCUUUUUCCCAUCUACGUAACAUUGCAAAUAUCAGAAACUUUCUGUCCAAAAAUGAUGCAGAAAAAUUCAUCCAUGCUUUUGUUACUUCUAGGUUAGACUACUGCAAUGCUCUACUUUCCGGCUACCCGGAUAAAGCACUAAAUAAACUUCAAUUAGUGCUAAAUACAGCUGCUAGAAUCCUGACUAGAACCCAAAAAAUUGAUUAUAUUACUCCAGUGCUAGCCUCCCUACACUGGCUUCCUGAUAAGGCAAGGGCUGAUUUCAAGGUUCUACUGCUAACCUACAAAGCAUUACAUGGUCUUGCUCCUACCUAUCUCUCUGAUUUGAUCCUGCCGUACAUACCUACACGUAAGCUACGGUCACAAGACGCAGGCCUCCUAAUUGUCCCUAGAAUUUCUAAGCAAACAGCUGGAGGCAGGGCUUUCUCCUAUAGAGCUCCAUUUUUAUGGAAUGGUCUGCCUCCCCAUAUGAGAGACACAGACUCGGUCUCAACCUUUAAGUCUUUACUGAAGACUCAUCUCUUCAGUGGGUCAUAUGAUUGAGUGUAGUCUGGCCCAGGAGUGUGAAGUUGAACGGAAAGGCUCUGGAGCAACGAACCGCCCUUGCUGUCUCUGCCUGGCUGGUUCCCCUCUAUCCACUGGGAUUCUUUGCUCUUUCAUGCCGUCCCUAGGAGGGGUGCGUCACUUGAGUGGGUUGAGUCAAUGAUGUGAUCUUCCUGUCUGGGUUGGCCCCCCCCCUUGGGGUGUGCCGUGGCGGAGAUCUUUGUGGGCUAUACUCUGCCUUGUUUCAGGAUGGUAAGUUGGUGGUUGAAGAUAUCCCUCUAGUGGUGUGGGGUCUGUGCUUUGGCAAAGUGGGUGGGGUUAUAUCCUUCCUGUUUGGCCCUGUCUGGGGGUAUCAUCGGAUGGGGCCACAGUGUCUCCUGACCCCUCCUGUCUCAGCCUCCAGUAUUUAUGCUGCAGUAGUUUAUGUGUCGGGGGCUAGGGUCAGUUUGUUAUAUCUGGAGUACUUCUCCUGUCUUAUCCGGUGUCCUGUGUGAAUUUUUAGUAUGGUCUCUUUAAUUCUCUCUUUCUCUCUUUCAUUCUCUCUCUCGGAGGACCUGAGGCCUAGGACCAUGCCUCAGGACUACCUGGCAUGAUGACUCCUUGCUGUCCCCAGUCCACCUGGCCGUGCUGCUGCUCCAGUUUCAACUGUUCUGCCUGCGGCUAUGGAAUCCUGACCUGCUUACCGGAAGUGCUACCUGUCCCAGACCUGCUGUUUUCAACUCUCUAGAGACAGCAGAAGUGGUAGAGAUACUCUUAAUGAUCGGCUAUGAAAAGCCAACUGACAUUUACUCCUGAGGUGCUGACUUUCAGCAUCUUCGACAACUACUGUGAUUAUUAUUAUUUGACCAUGCUGGUCAUUUAUGAACAUUUGAACAUCUUGGCCAUGUUCUGUUAUAAUCUCCACCCGGCACAGCCAGAAGAGGACUGGCCACCCCUCAUAGCCUGGUUCCUCUCUAGGUUUCUUCCUAGGUUUUGGCCUUUCUAAGGAGUUUUUCCUAGCCACUGUGCUUCUACACCUGCAUUGCUUGCUGUUUUGGGUUUUAGGCUGGGUUUCUGUACAGCACUUUGAGAUAUCAGCUAAUGUACGAAGGGCUAUAUGAAUUAAUUUGAUUUGAUUUGAUCAAGCAGCCCUUCAGAAAGACCAGAGUGAACACUUUGUCUGAGAUUGCUGGUGUUGUGAAAGACAGCACUGUGACAGGAUUUUUACAUUUGAACCUUUAUUUAACUAGGCAAGUCAGUUAAGAACAAAUUCUUAUUUACAAUGAAGGCCUAAGAACAGUGGGUUAGCUGCUUUGUUCAGGGGCAGACCGACAGAUUUUUACCUUGUCAGCUCGAGGAUUCGAUCUAGCAACCUUUCGGUUACUGGCCCAACGCUAAAACCACUAGGCUACCUGCUGCUCCUAGGAUGGUACGGUGCUGGUGGAACGCUAUGGCUGACAACAACACUUGACUCUGUACUUCAGGCUGCUGCCAGCACUUCAGCUUUGAUGCUCUGGAGUCUGGUGUUGUCACCGAGGAGCAUUCAGACUGUCUGGACCAGGAUUCAGCUGCUGCCCAACGCUGACAUCCUUCCUCCCAUAGAUGUUCUACCUGUAAAAGCACCACCUGGACUGGACACAACUAGACAAACUAUCUUUUUAACAAGAUCAGGGAGUUUUGCGACAAAGAGGCUAUGGACAUCACAUGAACUGCACUGUAAGUCAAUGACAGGACAGAAACAGGCUCCCCGAAUAUAGAUUCCCUUGUUCAUGUGUGGUUUGGACGGACCAGUCAUCAGCACUAUCUGCAGUGCCUCUAUUGACAUGACUCUCUCCUAACACACACCAUACGUUGCUGCAACUUUUUUUUAAAUAUCCUGCUGUUCAGCCACUUUACCCCUGAUUGUAUGCAAAAACUACCUCGUCUAUCACUGAUAUCGUUAUUGAUAUUGUUCUUGUUUAUAUUUAAUUUAUGUUGACACUAUCUAUUUCUGAUAUUGCUACCAUUUGGCUGUACUGUUUACACCUUCUGUAGAGACCAUCCACUUUUGUGACAUACCACAACAAUAUCAUGUGACCGUAUCAAGUGUCCUCCACUUAAAUAUAUGGCGCCAUGCAUCUGUUUAUGUACUGUACAUGUGCACCUCACUCAGGUUUCAACUCAGGUUGCAUGGCCUACUAUGUGAUAAGUGCAUGUGUAACAGUAUAUAAAGUAUGCUAAUGUAUUUGGGCAGUGGUGUAACAGUACUUUAAAGUACUACUUUUUAUGGUCUCUGUACAUUACUUUACUAUUUAUAUUUUUUAUCACUUUUACUUCACUACAGUCGUAUAGAAACAAAUGUGCUUUUAAGUCCAUACAUUUUACUUGACACCCAAAAGUACUCUUUACAUUUUGACAGGAAAAUUGUCCAAUUCAAACACUUAUCAAGAGAACAUCCCUGGUCAUCCAUACUGCCUCUGAUCUGGCAGACUCACUAAACACAAAUGCUUUGUUUGUAAAUGAUGUCUGAGUGUGCCCCUGGCUAUCCAUCCAUUAAAAAAACAAUAACAUUG